GUUUACGGCCACACCACUCUGAACACGCCCGAUCUCGUCCGAUCUCGGAAGCUAAGCAGGGUCGGGCCUGGUUAGUACUUGGAUGGGAGACCGCCUGGGAAUACCAGGUGCCGUAAGCU
This is a ribosomal RNA of Neogobius melanostomus (round goby), 119 nucleotides long. NCBI's taxonomy places the organism in Eukaryota, Metazoa, Chordata, Actinopteri, Gobiiformes, Gobiidae. The record is from Ensembl.